AAAGAACAAGACGCAGCAGUUGAACGAAGAGGCUAGACACUUCAAACCGCUGGGGAAUAAAUAAUUUCUAGAUUGAAGGAAUCAGUGUUUCCAAUCAUUGGCUUCUUAGCCAUUUCAGUCAAGUUCAACCUCAUAGUCUCAAAUCCAAGGAGGUUGUCUUCCUACAAGUUAUAAACGAGUUAGGUUGAGCCGCAUAUAGUUCAUUUGUCCAAGUUAAUAAGCAGAUGUUGACUGUUGAGCACAAAAGAACAAGACGUAGCAGUUGAACGAAGAGGCUAGACACUUCAAUCAUGCUCAUGUGAAAGGGUGUCCAAUGCCUCUUAUGUACACUGUAGUGGCUCGCCUCUUAUGAAAUUCUCAUGAGUUCAAGAUAUUUGGGCCAGGGGGAGCUGAAGCGUUUAAGGUAGAUAGAAAUGAUGAAGAAAACAAAAAAUGUCUUCUAACCAUGGAUAUUGAUGAGAUUCUUGCGAGAGCAGAUGUAUAUGAGGUAUGGGAUUAUACUUUUU
Helianthus annuus (common sunflower) is the source of this 506-nucleotide long non-coding RNA. RefSeq lists it as uncharacterized. The record is from RefSeq and is a predicted model, not a curated record. Lineage: Eukaryota; Viridiplantae; Streptophyta; Magnoliopsida; Asterales; Asteraceae. The transcript has 4 exons.